Molecule: long non-coding RNA, 779 nt
Filed under: Heterocephalus glaber (naked mole-rat)
Lineage: Eukaryota; Metazoa; Chordata; Mammalia; Rodentia; Bathyergidae
Description: lncRNA (ENSHGLG00000042073.1)
Source: RNAcentral
ACAGAGGAGAAAAUGCGGGUGUCCGACCUUUUGGCUUUGGCUGAGCCACACUGAGUGAAGAGGAAUUGCCUUGGGCUACCUAUAGAAUAUAUAAUAUAUUAAUAUACUUCUGAUGAGCCAGCGGAGAUCAUGUCUUCUGAAAGGUGUUUCAAUGACUUCAGGCCCACCUGGAUAAUGCAGGACAAUCUUCCCACCUCAAGGGUCUUCCCUCUCCCCAACACCAUGUCUGAAGAAGUUACACAAAUGAGAAAAAGUGGCUGCUCACCUUAGGCCCUUUAGGACCUCACCAUCCAAAUCAGUAACCACACUCGAAGACCACCCUUCCAGACUGUCCCUGAGACUUCUUUCCAGACUCCACUGUUUAUUUGUUUGCAAAAUGCUUCUUUCAUGUGUAAGCAGGACAAAGUAGAGGUCACAAUGACAAAGUUCUGGAGAAGACCUGAAUACCUGAUAACCCCUUUAAAUAACAUUCUUGUGACCUGUGUCUUCCUCACAGAAAUUUUCUAGUUUUCAGCAACUUCUUCUGUUCCAUUUGUCCCCAAACUUCUCACUCCCCUGGCCAAGCCCAAGAACAAUGCUGAUCAGAUUACAGUCUCUCCAUGUUCAUAGCGAAGUUCAAAGUAUAAUGGCCUGCAUGGAAAGUGAUUGCGCAACAAGCUGACCGACAGACAUGUUCUACAAUGGACACUCUGCCACCCAUUCACUGAAAUCAGAGUGACCGCAGGACUAUUUGGAACAAAAGUGAGCCACACUGUGUAUUUACUUUUUUUUUUUGGUAC